This 253-nucleotide ribosomal RNA is filed under the name uncultured bacterium. RNAcentral's name for it is "partial 16S ribosomal RNA". It matches the Rfam family "Bacterial small subunit ribosomal RNA", at positions 524 to 776 of the family's 1533-position model. The record is from RNAcentral.
UACGGGGGGGGCAAGCGUUGUUCGGAAUUACUGGGCGUAAAGGGCUCGUAGGUGGCCAACUAAGUCGGACGUGAAAUCCCUCAGCUUAACUGGGGAACUGCGUCCGAUACUGGAUGGCUUGAGUUUGGGAGAGGGAUGCGGAAUUCCAGGUGUAGCGGUGAAAUGCGUAGAUAUCUGGAGGAAUACCGGUGGCGAAGGCGGCAUCCUGGACCGAGAUUGACGCUGAUGAGCGAAAGCUAGGGGAGCAAACGGG